RNAcentral lists this ribosomal RNA (497 nucleotides) under uncultured bacterium. RNAcentral describes it as "partial 16S ribosomal RNA". It matches the Rfam family "Bacterial small subunit ribosomal RNA", at positions 28 to 507 of the family's 1533-position model. The record is from RNAcentral.
GAUGAACGCUGGCGGCGUGCCUAAUACAUGCAAGCCGAGCGAAAAGACGAGGGCCUUGCUCUCCUGACGUUAGGGCCGGACGGGUGAGUAACACGUGAAAAACCUCCCUAUAAGAUGGGGAUAACUUCGGAAACCCGGAGCUAAUACCGGAUAAUUUAUUGAACCGCAUGGUUCAUUAGUAAAAGACGGUUUUGCUGUCACUUAUAGAUGGAUCCGCGCCGCAUUAGCUAGUUGGUAAGGUAACGGCUUACCAAGGCAACGAUGCGUAGCCGACCUGAGAGGGUGAUCGGCCACACUGGAACUGAGACACGGUCCAGACUCCUACGGGAGGCAGCAGUAGGGAAUCUUCCGCAAUGGGCGAAAGCCUGACGGAGCAACGCCGCGUGAGUGAUGAAGGUCUUCGGAUCGUAAAACUCUGUUAUUAGGGAAGAACAAAUGUGUAAGUAACUAUGCACGUCUUGACGGUACCUAAUCAGAAAGCCACGGCUAACUACGUG